CGCACCUUGCGCCCCUUGGUAUUCCGAGGGGUGGCACCCGUUUGUAGUGUCGUGAAUACCCUCCAACCUUCUUGGUUUAUCGACCGAGAAGGCUUGGACUUUGGUAGGUUUUUGUUUGCUGGCCUUGUUUUGUAAGCCAGCUCCUCCUAAAUGAAUUAGUGAGGCCCGCCGUGCCGAUCCUCGACGUGAUAAGUACGCUUCUACGUCUUGGGUUUCGCACCGUUCUUGCUUCCAACUUCGAGUUGUGACUCGACCUUAUAAACCUUGACCUCAAAUCGGGUGAGACUACCCGCUGAACUUAA
This 302-nucleotide ribosomal RNA is filed under the name uncultured Russula. RNAcentral's name for it is "eukaryotic LSU rRNA". Lineage: Eukaryota; Fungi; Basidiomycota; Agaricomycetes; Russulales; Russulaceae. The record is from RNAcentral.